This 508-nucleotide ribosomal RNA is filed under the name Paraburkholderia bryophila. Its description in RNAcentral is "bacterial SSU rRNA". It matches the Rfam family "Bacterial small subunit ribosomal RNA", at positions 165 to 668 of the family's 1533-position model. Lineage: Bacteria; Pseudomonadati; Pseudomonadota; Betaproteobacteria; Burkholderiales; Burkholderiaceae. The record is from RNAcentral.
AAUACCGCAUACGCUCUACGGAGGAAAGGGGGGGAUCUUAGGACCUCUCGCUACAGGGGCGGCCGAUGGCAGAUUAGCUAGUUGGUGGGGUAAAGGCCUACCAAGGCGACGAUCUGUAGCUGGUCUGAGAGGACGACCAGCCACACUGGGACUGAGACACGGCCCAGACUCCUACGGGAGGCAGCAGUGGGGAAUUUUGGACAAUGGGCGAAAGCCUGAUCCAGCAAUGCCGCGUGUGUGAAGAAGGCCUUCGGGUUGUAAAGCACUUUUGUCCGGAAAGAAAACUUCUGUCCUAAUACGGCGGGAGGAUGACGGUACCGGAAGAAUAAGCACCGGCUAACUACGUGCCAGCAGCCGCGGUAAUACGUAGGGUGCAAGCGUUAAUCGGAAUUACUGGGCGUAAAGCGUGCGCAGGCGGUUCGCUAAGACAGAUGUGAAAUCCCCGGGCUUAACCUGGGAACUGCAUUUGUGACUGGCGGGCUAGAGUAUGGCAGAGGGGGGUAGAAUU